CCUACGGGUGGCUGCAGUGAGGAAUAUUGGUCGAUGGGCUUACGCCUGAACCAGCCAAGUCGCGUGAGGGAAGACGGCUCUAUGAGUUGUAAACUGCUUUUGUACGAGGGUAAACGCAGAUACGCGUAUCUGUCUGAAAGUAUCGUACGAAUAAGGAUCGGCUAACUCCGUGCCAGCAGCCGCGGUAAUACGGAGGAUUCAAGCGUUAUCCGGAUUUAUUGGGUUUAAAGGGUGCGUAGGCGGUCGGAUAAGUUAGAGGUGAAAUCCCGAGGCUCAACUUCGGAAUUGCCUCUGAUACUGUUCGGCUAGAGAGUAGUUGCGGUAGGCGGAAUGUAUGGUGUAGCGGUGAAAUGCUUAGAGAUCAUACAGAACACCGAUUGCGAAGGCAGCUUACCAAGCUACUUCUGACGUUGAGGCACGAAAGCGUGGGGAGCAAACAGGAUUAGAUACCUGGUAGUC
Molecule: ribosomal RNA, 459 nt
Filed under: uncultured bacterium
Lineage: Bacteria
Description: partial 16S ribosomal RNA
Rfam family: Bacterial small subunit ribosomal RNA
Source: RNAcentral